GCUGGGCGUGGUGGCGCACGCCUGUAAUUCCAGCUACUCAGGAGGCUGAGGCAGGAGAAUUGCUUGAACCUGGGAGGCUGAGGUUGCAGUGAGCUGAAAUCGCGCCACUGCACUCCAGCCUGGGUGACAGAGUGAGACUCUGUCUCAA
Molecule: non-coding RNA, 148 nt
Organism: Nomascus leucogenys (northern white-cheeked gibbon)
Lineage: Eukaryota; Metazoa; Chordata; Mammalia; Primates; Hylobatidae
Rfam family: Metazoan signal recognition particle RNA
About the family: The signal recognition particle (SRP) is a universally conserved ribonucleoprotein. It is involved in the co-translational targeting of proteins to membranes.
Source: Rfam